UAAGAUGAGAGUUUGAUCCUGGCUCAGGACGAACGCUGGCGGCGUGCCUAAUACAUGCAAGUCGAACGAGUCCUCCCAAUUUGAUUUUAUGCUUGCAUAAAUGAUUUUUGGAUUCGGGACGAGUGGCGAACUGGUGAGUAACACGUGGGUAACCUGCCCUGAAGUAGGGGAUAACAUUUGGAAACAGAUGCUAAUACCGUAUAAUUAGUUGGAACCACAUGGUUCCAACUUGAAAGAUGGCUCUGCUAUCACUUUCCGACCUGAGAGGGUAAUCGGCCACAUUGGGACUGAGACACGGCCCAGACUCCUACGGGAGGCAGCAGUAGGGAAUCUUCCACAAUGGACGAAAGUCUGAUGGAGCAACGCCGCGUGAGUGAAGAAGGGUUUCGGCUCGUAAAACUCUGUUGUUAAAGAAGAAYAAGUGUAAGAGUAACUGUUUACGCUUUGACGGUAUUUAACCAGAAAGCCACGGCUAACUACGUGCCAGCAGCCGCGGUAAUACGUAGGUGGCAAGCGUUGUCCGGAUUUAUUGGGCGUAAAGCGAGCGCAGGUGGUUCUUUAAGUCUGUUGUGAAAGCCCUCAGCUCAACUGAGGAAGUGCAGCGGAAACUAAAGGACUUGAGUACAGAAGAGGAUAGUGGAACUCCAUGUGUAGCGGUGAAAUGCGUAGAUAUAUGGAAGAACACCAGUGGCGAAGGCGGCUAUCUGGUCUGUUACUGACACUGAGGCUCGAAAGCAUGGGUAGCGAACAGGAUUAGAUACCCUGGUAGUCCAYGCCGUAAACGAUGAAURCUAGGUGUUGGAGGGUUUCCGCCCUUCAGUGCCGCAGCUAACGCAUUAAGYAYUCCGCCUGGGGAGUACGACCGCAAGGUUGAAACUCAAAGGAAUUGACGGGGGCCCGCACAAGYGGUGGAGCAUGUGGUUUAAUUCGAWGCWACGCGAAGAACCUUACCAGGUCUUGACAUCYUCUGCCAACYYWAGAGAUWARGCGUUCCCUUCGGGGACAGARUGACAGGUGGUGCAUGGUUGUCGUCAGCUCGUGUCGUGAGAUGUUGGGUUAAGUCCCGCAACGAGCGCAACCCUUAUUAUUAGUUGCCAGCAUUAAGUUGGGCACUCUAGUGAGACUGCCGGUGAUAAACCGGAGGAAGGUGGGGAUGACGUCAAAUCAUCAUGCCCCUUAUGACCUGGGCUACACACGUGCUACAAUGGAUGGUACAACGAGUCGCGAAACCGCGAGGUCAAGCUAAUCUCUUAAAGCCAUUCUCAGUUCGGAUUGCAGGCUGCAACUCGCCUGCAUGAAGUUGGAAUCACUAGUAAUCGUGGAUCAGCAUGCCACGGUGAAUACGUUCCCGGGCCUUGUACACACCGCCCGUCACACCAUGAGAGUUUGUAACACCCAAAGACGAUGGAGUAACCUUCGGGAGCUAGUUGUCUAAGGUGGGACAGAUGAUUAGGGUGAAGUCGUAACAAGGUAGCCGUAGGAGAACCUGCGGCUGGAUCACCUCCUUUCUAAGGA
Molecule: ribosomal RNA, 1515 nt
Filed under: Apilactobacillus micheneri
Lineage: Bacteria; Bacillati; Bacillota; Bacilli; Lactobacillales; Lactobacillaceae
Description: bacterial SSU rRNA
Source: RNAcentral